UAAACUAGAAAAAACCGUAGAUUUACCGGACUGAUAUCAAUAUGACAUGAUGAAGAUGUAUACUGCACUGUGCAGUAGUCUCGCGAACAGCCGUGCAGUACAGACAACUAGCUAGCCUCUUUCAAGUAAGUAAGUUUUCGGUAUACCAAGUUUUCAAUAUUAAACGUACCCCUGUAAUAAUACCAACAAAAUGUGUUUACACAUGACAUAAUCAUUAUUUCUACCCACUCAGACGAUAAUUCCUAAUUCGUUAAGAUUUACAUCUUUAAUCGAUCGCUAGCGCUACGGGGCUCGUUGCAUGUUAAUGUUGUGACAUGCAUUGUUUAUUUUCAUUCAACAUCCAGUGGAAGUUAUUGUUAUGGGUAAUGUUUAGGAAAUGAGUAAUUAUAGUACAUCCCUAUAUAGCUACCUUUCACCAUGUGGAAAUGAAAUGCUUGCUAUGCUUACCUUGGUGUAGGGGCUGGACCUCUACUGCAUACAAUGUGUAAAUGUAAAAUGCAUAUUUUCCCCAUUAUACAUGUCGUGCAUAGUUAACGACAUCAGGUAACAUGUUCUACCUACUCACCAGCCAACCUGGAACCAUCUACCGUCUGUUGUUGCAUUCAGGCUUCUUAGAAUGUUCAUUGUUGCUAUGCAAUGGAAAGAGUCCGCCGAUUAUUUACUUCAACGGCUAAAAUGAAUCAUCUUAUACUAAUGAGGUUUAAGAGUUGGUAUAUAAGCACUGACGUUAUAGGCUCAAUCCAUCAACUCAUCAGCAAGCCAACAAUUCAGCAACAGCUAAAACAAAAUCUCAUCCUUCAAACUACUUACCAAAAGAAAAUGAAUUCCAACACAAUCCUCAUCCUCAAUGUCACCGUCAUCUUGGGCCUGGCAUACCUGCUUGCAUCAGCAACACCUAUACCUAGAGCACCUAGACAGGCAUCUACGUCAACACCUAUACCUACAGAUGCACCUACAUGUCAGGAUGCUGCGCCGAAAAAUUGCUCUGCAGAAGAUGCGAAUAUUAAAAUCAUGUGCGAUGCUGUCUUCUACCGGGACUUGAUCAGUAGCUCCGGCGAUUAUGAAGCUAUGAGCGAAUACCUUGACACACUUCUUGUUCUUAUUAUGGAGAAACAAUUCCAAAAGUUUGAUUGCCUAUGUGAUAAAGAUCUCGAUGGCUUCAGGCAAGAGUGCCUCAAACUUUUCUAUCCCACCAGCUGCAACUGAGACUAUACCCAUAACAUUUUCAACAACCACCAUUACUUGAACAUUUUUAAACCUCCAAACCACCAUCAUUUUUAAUUUAAACUGCCAAACCACCGGUUACUUUUUAAUUUGUAGUCACCAAGUCAUGUACACGUACAAUCAUGCAAAUUGUCAUUAAAACAUUGUAUCAAAUUGAAAAUGAAUUUUCCACUUAUA
Molecule: long non-coding RNA, 1401 nt
Organism: Halichondria panicea
Lineage: Eukaryota; Metazoa; Porifera; Demospongiae; Suberitida; Halichondriidae
Exons: 3
Source: RefSeq, a predicted model, not a curated record